Molecule: ribosomal RNA, 1480 nt
Filed under: uncultured Bordetella sp.
Lineage: Bacteria; Pseudomonadati; Pseudomonadota; Betaproteobacteria; Burkholderiales; Alcaligenaceae
Description: partial 16S-23S ribosomal RNA intergenic spacer
Rfam family: Bacterial small subunit ribosomal RNA
Source: RNAcentral
AGUUCGAUCCCGGGUUCAGAUUGAACGCUGGCGGGAUGCUUUACACAUGCAAGUCGAACGGCAGCACGGACUUCGGUCUGGUGGCGAGUGGCGAACGGGUGAGUAAUGUAUCGGAACGUGCCUAGUAGCGGGGAUAACUACGCGAAAGGUAGCUAAUACCGUGUAUGUCGCCCUUCGGGGAAAGCGGGGACUCCUCGGGCCUCGCACUAUUAGAGCGGCCGAUUGGAUUAGCUAGUUGGUGGGGUAACGGCUCACCAAGGCGACGAUCCGUAGCUGGUUUGAGAGGACGACCAGCCACACUGGGACUGAGACACGGCCCAGACUCCUACGGGAGGCAGCAGUGGGGAAUUUUGGACAAUGGGGGGAAACCCCGAUCCAGCCAUCCCGGCGUGCGGAUGAAGGCCUUCUCGCUUGUAAAGCACUUUUGGCAGGAAGAAACGGCACGGGAUAAUACCCCGUGCAACUGACGGUACCCGCAGAAUAAGCACCGGCUAACCACGUUCAGCAGCCAUGGUAAUACGCAGGGCGCAAGCGUUAAUCGGAAUUACCGGGCGAAGCGUGCGCAGGCGGUUCGGAAAGAAAGACAGAAAUCCCAGAGCUUAACUUCUUUGGAAACUGCAUUUUUAACUACCGGGAGCCAGAGAGGCCGAGGGAGGUAAUCGCGUGUAGCAGUGAAAUGCGUAGAUAUGCGGAGGAACACCGAUGGCGAAGGCAGCCUCCUGGGAUAACACUGACGCUCAUGCAAUGAAAGCGUGGGGAGCAAACAGGAUUAGAUACCCUGCAGUCCACGCCCAAACGAUGUCAACUAGCCGUUGGCCUUCGGGCCUUGGUAGCGCAGCUAACGCGUGAAGUUGACCGCCUGGGGAGUACGGUCGCAAGAUUAAAACUCAAAGAAUUCGACGGGGACCCGCACAAGCGGUGGAUGAUGUGGAUUAAUUCGAUGCAACAAGAGAAAAACCUUACCUACCCUGACAUGCUCCGGAAUCCCGAAGAGAUCGGGGAGUGCUCGCAAGAGAACCGGAACACAGGUGCUGCAUAUGUCGUCAUCGUGUCGAGAUGUUGGGUUAAGUCCCGCAACGAGCGCAACCUUGUCAUUAGUUGCUACGAAAGGGCAAUUUAACGAGACUGCCGGUGACAAACCGGAGGAAGGUGGGGAUGACGUCAAGUCCCCAUGGCCCUUAUGGGUAGGGCUUCACACGUCAUACAAUGGUCGGGACAGAGGCCAACCCGGCGAGGGGAGCCAAUCCCAGAAACCUGAUCGUAGUCCGGAUCGCAGUCUGCAACUCGACUGCGUGAAGUCGGAAUCGCUAGUAAUCGCGGAUCAGCAUGUCGCGGUGAAUAUUGCCCGGCCCUGGCAUGGUCACCCCGGGCCCGGUCGCUAAUGAUGGGAGUGGGUUUUACCAGAAGUAGUUAGCCUAACCGUAAGGAGGGCGAUUACCACGGUAGGAUUCAUGACUGGGGUGAGGUCGUAACAAGGUAA